UACGUCUGUGUCUCGUUUGGAAGGCUUCGUGCUAGGUAGGACGCGUCCUUUGAAGGCUGCAGUAUACCGAGCGUCCUCCUUUAAACGAGACGGCCUUCGUAGGACAAACGGAAACGGAACGUGUCAUGGUUGCUAUGACAGCACGCCACUCUUGAGUGAGAAGGGUCUUGCCUAUGGUUUCUGGGAUGGAUCAUUAACAUUCACUCUGACCAUAUCCUCAGGAACCUCCAUCAGCCUGGAGAGACAGGCUAUAAGAUAACUAAAGGGGCAUGUCUGAAUAUGGAGCAGGAGCAAACUUCUUAGGUGAGAUUGUAGAAAGGACUGGAUUUGCUCUGGUCGGUCACUCAGUCCACAGUGCAUCUUUUGCCUAGAGCAGUGGCUCACCACAAGUGGUAUCUUCCAAAAUUUGAAGACUAUCCAAAAUCAAGGAAAGCUUUAAUACCGUUUGUGAUCUGAUUCUGUGUUCAUUCCCUUCAGAAGUGCUCUGUCAAUCUGGAACUGUUUGAGGUGUUGGGUGGGCAGUGAGAAAUCUGUCUGACUGUUCACAGGGGAAAUAACCCUAUAGCCACAGGCAAGGCAAUGAUGAAAUCUCCCUGCAAACCACAUCGCACACAUACAUAACCUUUUGCAGCACCAAGCACAACCCCAACCAUAAGCUUUGAGUAAUAAAGGAGCAUGCAAAGGACUUGUGUUGAAUGUUACGUUUUUGAAACAUGUUAAUACAGCAGUGAGCCGCAAGCAGCACACAAAAUUAAUUGUGUGGAUCUCUGCAUGCACUGUGGCAGUAGUGAUCGCAUGAGAUGUCAGUGUUCUGACCCCCCUUUUUACAUAUGCUGCACGUGAGCUGAAGGCAAAGUGUUCAUUAUAUAAUGAGUAGGAGGAUCUUGCAGUUGUAGCUUUAUUAUUCAGCAUGUCAAAUGGUGAUUUAUCAUCAUCAACAGAGAUGUCUUUUUCUAAGGUUUUUUUUUUUUUUCUUCAAAAGCAUGAGUUUAUUUUUGACAGAAAGAGUAUCAGUUUUGCAACUGGCUGUCUAGUUUGCUCAAUUGCACAAUCAGUGACAUGAUUUCAAGCAUCAUUGUCUUUAUUUUGAAAUAAUUUGAAUUUUGUUUUACAUUUGAAAUGACAGACUACAUGUUCUUCACUAGUUUAUCAGACAGACAUUGCUUCCACUUGAAUUUAUACAGUAUGUGUACUUUGUAUCUUAAAAGAAACCUAC
Molecule: long non-coding RNA, 1216 nt
Organism: Myxocyprinus asiaticus (Chinese sucker)
Lineage: Eukaryota; Metazoa; Chordata; Actinopteri; Cypriniformes; Catostomidae
Exons: 5
Source: RefSeq, a predicted model, not a curated record